UUUUUUUUGCAAUUGGGGUGCGAAACAAUAAUUACUCUAAUAUAUCAACCUAGAUCAUUCUAGUAUUUAUAUCACUAUAGCCUUCCUCUCUUAGCCAUCAUAAUUCUUAUUCUAACAUUCCUUCUAAUAUCAAUAUUUUUUUAGAACCUACUAAUUCUUUCCUUCCUUUUCUUUAACAAGCUGUAUCAACAUUUAUUCUACUGGAUUCUAACACCUUUUAUUGACAUGCUUGCAACCUUAAUUAGAAUUCUAUCUUCUAUUUGCAUAAUAUUACUAUAAUCAACAUAUACUUAGCUCCUUUCAGAAAUAAUGACUUGGUUCUUAUUCACUACAUAUCUUCUUCAUGAUCCACUGACUACUAGCUUUCAAAUUUCUAAACAAGUAAUAAUAUUAGAUCGAAUCAAUCGUUAAAUUUUGUCACCACAUAUGUUAAUGUUCAAUAGACCUUUAGUCCUCUUGUCUGUAUCAUUAGUUGCCAAUCAAAAUUUUAAACACUUAUUAUUCAACCUAUGUGCCCUUAAAGAAAUUCUUAUUAAGAUGAUUUCAAUCUUUUAUAACUACCUGCAUAUUUAUACUAUAACUUAUGCAAAGAAUUGUACAAAUAGUAGAAUUUAACUUAAACUUAGUAUGUCAU
RNAcentral lists this long non-coding RNA (634 nucleotides) under Elaeis guineensis (African oil palm). Its description in RNAcentral is "long non-coding RNA (EGUI_LNC039247)". The record is from RNAcentral. Lineage: Eukaryota; Viridiplantae; Streptophyta; Magnoliopsida; Arecales; Arecaceae.